UGGGGAAUUUUGGACAAUGGGCGAAAGCCUGAUCCAGCAAUGCCGCGUGUGUGAAGAAGGCCUUCGGGUUGUAAAGCACUUUUGUCCGGAAAGAAAUCCUUGGCUCUAAUACAGUCGGGGGAUGACGGUACCGGAAGAAUAAGCACCGGCUAACUACGUGCCAGCAGCCGCGGUAAUACGUAGGGUGCAAGCGUUAAUCGGAAUUACUGGGCGUAAAGCGUGCGCAGGCGGUUUGCUAAGACCGAUGUGAAAUCCCCGGGCUCAACCUGGGAACUGCAUUGGUGACUGGCAGGCUAGAGUAUGGCAGAGGGGGGUAGAAUUCCACGUGUAGCAGUGAAAUGCGUAGAGAUGUGGAGGAAUACCGAUGGCGAAGGCAGCCCCCUGGGUCAAUACUGACGCUCAUGCACGAAAGCGUGGGGAGCAAACAGGAUUAGAUACCCUGGUAGUCCACGCCCUAAACGAUGUCAACUAGUUGUUGGGGAUUCAUUUCCUUAGUAACGUAGCUAACGCGUGAAGUUGACCGCCUGGGGGAGUACGGUCGCAAGAUUAAAACUCAAAUGAAUUGAC
This 567-nucleotide ribosomal RNA is filed under the name uncultured bacterium. RNAcentral describes it as "partial 16S ribosomal RNA". It matches the Rfam family "Bacterial small subunit ribosomal RNA", at positions 355 to 914 of the family's 1533-position model. The record is from RNAcentral.